AUUCUGCCCAAGCGGGGAAGGAUGAGAAGCUUCGACCAAGGUUCGACUCGAGCGCCAGCGAGAGAGCGUUGCCGCAGGCAACGACCCGAAGGGCGAAGCGCGCA
This 104-nucleotide small RNA is filed under the name Escherichia coli. RNAcentral's name for it is "partial RtT sRNA". It matches the Rfam family "RtT RNA", at positions 1 to 102 of the family's 130-position model. From Rfam's summary of the family: This family represents a bacterial cis-regulatory element known as RtT RNA. The exact function of RtT is unknown although it is thought that it may be involved in changing the cellular response in relation to amino acid starvation. Lineage: Bacteria; Pseudomonadati; Pseudomonadota; Gammaproteobacteria; Enterobacterales; Enterobacteriaceae. The record is from RNAcentral.